GAAAUCAGUCGAAGAUACCAGCUGGCUGCAACUGUUUAUUAAAAACACAGCACUGUGCAAACACGAAAGUGGACGUAUACGGUGUGACGCCUGCCCGGUGCCGGAAGGUUAAUUGAUGGGGUCAGCGCAAGCGAAGCUCUUGAUCGAAGCCCCGGUAAACGGCGGCCGUAACUAUAACGGUCCUAAGGUAGCGAAAUUCCUUGUCGGGUAAGUUCCGACCUGCACGAAUGGCGUAAUGAUGGCCAGGCUGUCUCCACCCGAGACUCAGUGAAAUUGAACUCGCUGUGAAGAUGCAGUGUACCCGCGGCAAGACGGAAAGACCCCGUGAACCUUUACUAUAGCUUGACACUGAACAUUGAGCCUUGAUGUGUAGGAUAGGUGGGAGGCUUAGAAGUGUGGACGCCAGUCUGCAUGGAGCCGGCCUUGAAAUACCACCCUUUAAUGUUUGAUGUUCUAACGUUGACCCGUAAUCCGGGUUGCGGACAGUGUCUGGUGGGUAGUUUGACUGGGGCGGUCUCCUCCUAAAGAGUAACGGAGGAGCACGAAGGUUGGCUAAUCCUGGUCGGACAUCAGGAGGUUAGUGCAAUGGCAUAAGCCAGCUUGACUGCGAGCGUGACGGCGCGAGCAGGUGCGAAAGCAGGUCAUAGUGAUCCGGUGGUUCUGAAUGGAAGGGCCAUCGCUCAACGGAUAAAAGGUACUCCGGGGAUAACAGGCUGAUACCGCCCAAGAGUUCAUAUCGACGGCGGUGUUUGGCACCUCGAUGUCGGCUCAUCACAUCCUGGGGCUGAAGUAGGUCCCAAGGGUAUGGCUGUUCGCCAUUUAAAGUGGUACGCGAGCUGGGUUUAGAACGUCGUGAGACAGUUCGGUCCCUAUCUGCCGUGGGCGCUGGAGAACUGAGGGGGGCUGCUCCUAGUACGAGAGGACCGGAGUGGACGCAUCACUGGUGUUCGGGUUGUCAUGCCAAUGGCACUGCCCGGUAGCUAAAUGCGGAAGAGAUAAGUGCUGAAAGCAUCUAAGCACGAAACUUGCCCCGAGAUGAGUUCUCCCUGACUCCUUGAGAGUCCUGAAGGAACGUUGAAGACGACGACGUUGAUAGGCCGGGUGUGUAAGCGCAGCGAUGCGUUGAGCUAACCGGUACUAAUGAACCGUGAGGCUUAACCUU
RNAcentral lists this ribosomal RNA (1162 nucleotides) under Escherichia coli. RNAcentral's name for it is "bacterial LSU rRNA". It matches the Rfam family "Bacterial large subunit ribosomal RNA", at positions 1769 to 2925 of the family's 2925-position model. The record is from RNAcentral. Lineage: Bacteria; Pseudomonadati; Pseudomonadota; Gammaproteobacteria; Enterobacterales; Enterobacteriaceae.